Long non-coding RNA from Tachyglossus aculeatus (Australian echidna), 268 nucleotides. RefSeq lists it as uncharacterized. The transcript has 3 exons. The record is from RefSeq and is a predicted model, not a curated record. Lineage: Eukaryota; Metazoa; Chordata; Mammalia; Monotremata; Tachyglossidae.
CAGGGCCUUGGCUGCAUGAGGAGAAAAGGCAGAAGUCCAGCUUCUUUCUGCCUCCCUGGAGAAGCUUUCCAGACCAGCCCGCUCAGAGGACCAAGGAAGGCACCUGAGCCCCCGAUGUGUCAUGGGAGACCUGGCUCCCUUAUCCUUCCCUGCCUCCCCAAGGACAUCGGGGUGUGGACAGGACGGAGGCCGCGGCGCUGAUCCGAACCUGUCUGUCGACCCCCCUGGACAGUGGAGGACUAACUGGCUCCUCUUGGGAUACCAUGAG